RNAcentral lists this ribosomal RNA (274 nucleotides) under uncultured bacterium. RNAcentral's name for it is "partial 16S ribosomal RNA". It matches the Rfam family "Bacterial small subunit ribosomal RNA", at positions 523 to 796 of the family's 1533-position model. The record is from RNAcentral.
AUACAAAGGGUGCGAGCGUUAAUCGGAAUUACGGGGCGUAAAGCGCGCGUAGGCGGCUGAUUAAGUCAGAUGUGAAAUCCCAGGGCUCAACCUUGGAACUGCAUCUGAUACUGGUCAGCUAGAGUUUAGGAGAGGGAAGUAGAAUUUCAGGUGUAGCGGUGAAAUGCAUAGAUAUCUGAAGGAAUACCAGUGGCGAAGGCGGCUUCCUGGCCUAAAACUGACGCUGAGGUGCGAAAGCGUGGGUAGCAAACAGGAUUAGAAACCCCGGUAGUCC